RNAcentral lists this ribosomal RNA (255 nucleotides) under uncultured bacterium. RNAcentral describes it as "partial 16S ribosomal RNA". It matches the Rfam family "Bacterial small subunit ribosomal RNA", at positions 524 to 776 of the family's 1533-position model. The record is from RNAcentral.
UACGAAGGGGGCUAGCGUUGUUCGGAAUUACUGGGCGUAAAGCGCACGUAGGCGGAUAUUUAAGUCAGGGGUGAAAUCCCGGGGCUCAACCCCGGAACUGCCUUUGAUACUGGGUAUCUUGAGUGUGGUAGAGGUGAGUGGAAUUGCGAGUGUAGAGGUGAAAUUCGUAGAUAUUCGCAAGAACACCAGUGGCGAAGGCGGCUCACUGGCCCGGUACUGACGCUGAGGUGCGAAAAGCGUGGGGGAGUAAACAGG